UGCUUAGAGCACUGUUAAUUGAGCCCAUUCUAUAAUAUUGUGAAGAAGAAGAAGAAGAAGAAGAAGAAGAAGAAGAAGAAGAAGAAGAAGAAGAAGAAGAAGAAGAAAAGAAAAAAACGCCUCUGACCAUAUAUAUGACAACACACAGUCACACAAGAAUGCUGUGCACCCCAUUAGACACGUGGGUGAGACAGGAACUCUGUUGUGGUUGCUCUCCAUGACUCAGCCAGUUUUCCUUGUUCAGACCCCUCGGGGCUUCUGGUUCAAACCACAGAGUAUGGCGGGGUGCCGGCGAAGCAUGCGCUUGGCUUGUUACUUGAGCCUCCGUUGAAAUGGAGACAAAGGAGUUGUGAGGGACAGGGACAAUCUCAAAUGACCCUUCUCAUUGCACUCUCGAAGGUGGAAAGCUGAUAUCUGAGAGCAGCCAGGUGACAGGAAUGGGGGACUGGAAGCCUGUCAUAUAUGUAGGCACUGGAGACAUGAGGCCAGAGGACCAGACAAUGGUCUUUAUAUAGGACACUGGUGUCACCAUCCACCCCUCUUGUUCAUGCUUGUGUACUUCCGUCAUGCUGGUGUAGAUGUGAGACUCUUCCUGGAAGUCUCCCAGGAGUAGAGCAUCCCUUGGGAGCUCAGGCAUGAUGGGAUGGAAGAGACAGGAUUGCUAAUGGGCAGUAUUUGACUCAUGAAGCAGCCAAGAAGCAAAGGAGCCCAGGCCUGACCAUGAGCUGGGAUACGCUCCUUCAUGUGGGAGGGCUAUCCCUGCUACUGGACUCAGCAAUGGAAAAGGCUCUCUGAACCAGGAGGUGAUGGUGCACGGCUUUAAUCCCAGCACUCAGGAGGCAGAGGCAGGCAGAUCUUUGUGAGUUCAAGGGCAGCCUGGUCUACAGUGUGAGUCCCAGGACAACUAAGGCUGUUACACAGAGAAACCCUGUCUCAGGGGGAAAAAAGAAAGAAAGGAAGAAAGAGAAUGUCUCUCUGGAUAGGACAAGUGCUGGGUGCAUGUGGUCCUCUCCACAGCGGUCGCCUCCCUUUGGUCCCCUUCUUCUCACAGACCUAUCACUCACCUUCCCAUCACCCACCACGCAGUGGGAGACCUGGAGGCUGCACAGACUCCAGGUAACUCAUUAACUAUUAAGUCAAGUUGAAGUCCCUGCCUCCUCUGAGGUUACUCAUUAAUGCCUGUGAACUCUGUCCCAGUACCUGGUUGACAGGACCACCUGUCACUGGAAAUGGCCCUUUCCUCCACCAGUGUGAUGGUCGCUGUGGUCAACGGACAGAAUCCAGAACCACCCGGAAGAGAGUGCCCCGGGGCCUUGCUUUAGUUAAUGAGGUAAAAUGCAUCUUAAUUGUGGGCGGGGCAGUUCCCAGGGUAGGGGAGUCGAUGGAGAAAGCCAGCUGAGCAUUCCUGUAGCAGGUAUCACCCCUGCUUAUCAA
Molecule: non-coding RNA, 1434 nt
Organism: Peromyscus maniculatus bairdii (prairie deer mouse)
Lineage: Eukaryota; Metazoa; Chordata; Mammalia; Rodentia; Cricetidae
Source: RefSeq, a predicted model, not a curated record